AACCUUUACACUGCACGACAGUGCGAUAGGGGGACUCCGAGUGUGAGGGCAUAUAGCCCUCGCUUUUCUGUACCGUAAGGUGGUACAGGAACAAGGACUGGGCAAGACCGGUGCCAGCCGCCGCGGUAAUACCGGCAGUCCGAGUGAUGGCCGAUAUUAUUGGGCCUAAAGCGUCCGUAGCUUGCUGUGUAAGUCCAUUGGGAAAUCGACCAGCUCAACUGGUCGGCGUCCGGUGGAAACUACACAGCUUGGGGCCGAGAGACUCAACGGGUACGUCCGGGGUAGGAGUGAAAUCCUGUAAUCCUGGACGGACCACCAAUGGGGAAUCCACGUUGAGAGACCGGACCCGACAGUGAGGGACGAAAGCCAGGGUCUCGAACCGGAUUAGAUACCCGGGUAGUCCUGGCUGUAAACAAUGCUCGCUAGGUAUGUCACGCGCCAUGAGCACGUGAUGUGCCGUAGUGAAGACGAUAAGCGAGUCGCCUGGGAAGUACGUCCGCAAGGAUGAAACUUAA
RNAcentral lists this ribosomal RNA (515 nucleotides) under uncultured archaeon. RNAcentral describes it as "bacterial SSU rRNA". It matches the Rfam family "Archaeal small subunit ribosomal RNA", at positions 345 to 859 of the family's 1478-position model. The record is from RNAcentral.